ACACAUUUAAAAAGUAUGUUUAUGCUGAUGCAGAAGUCCAACUCAGAUGAAAUAUUUGAUAAUUCAAAGUGAAGUGUUAAGGGCUAGACUGAGCAUGGGCUAAGUAUUCCAUACCUGCUACACAACCUCCAUCAUUGUCGUUACACCACCGUCCUAAAAUACACAACUACCAUGUAUUGAAAGAUGGACAACACAUUAAAACCCUUACAAGCAUAUCCUUUCCAUUCUCCUUAAUCAGGAGGCAGGGCUGCUGGUGAUAAUAUUUUUGGCCAAGGACAAAAGAAAUUGAAUAUGGAGAGAGACAAAAUCGAUGAUGGUAGAGAGAGAAUUUGUGCGAUGGUCAAGGUAUGGAAGUCGAUGGCGCCGGUGAUUAUGUUUGGUGACAACAUUGCCGAGAGGAGGGAGGGCGAUGGUCAACUCGAGUUUUUCAUCCCGAGUGGUCAAAUGGAUUUUGAUUUGGUAUGUCGUUGUCAAUUUUUCACUAGAUAAUUAAGUCAUUCAUGGUGAACUGCACAUAAGAGCCUAUCCCCCUAAACGACUAGUUUGGUUUUAAAAGACUCCAGAUUUUGUUAUCAAAAUGUUGCAGUUCCUUUGCUAUGCGACACUGCAGCAAGAAGUAGGAAACUUUUUGUGUUCAAGUUUGGAUUGUUAGUACACUUCUUGUUGAUUUCUGUAUUUCUUAUAUGAAUUACUUGGUUUAUAAUUUUUAUUAUGGAUCUACAGUACUUGAUUAUCACUGUGUUCUAAAAGUUGUCAUUCGUAGUGAUCGCUUGUAAAUAAUAGACUUUAUUGUUUUAUGUUUAUGAUACUAGAGACCAAAAAAAGAUGAGCUUAUCCCCAAGAAUUACUAUGAAUUUAAUGGAGUUGCAAUCGAUGCAAUAUUGUUUUAUUGAAUGAUUUUCUUGUCUUGAAGGUUCUAUAUCCACAAGAUGAUUUCCCCAAUGGAAGUGUCACUGUAGAGGUUUUUCCAGCGAGUGAUAGACAGAAGAUAAGGUGUUGCCUUCACAUUGUAGGUGUCUGAAAGUUGAGUGGAAGGUGGAGUCAAAAAGUCAAAAAAGAAAAUCUUUUAAUGUGUCAAAUUUGAGCUGGAGCUCUAGUAGUUUUUAGGCGUAUAAGUGGUCCAAUAAUUUAUCAACAAGG
Molecule: long non-coding RNA, 1140 nt
Filed under: Nicotiana tabacum (common tobacco)
Lineage: Eukaryota; Viridiplantae; Streptophyta; Magnoliopsida; Solanales; Solanaceae
Description: long non-coding RNA (NTAB_LNC016731)
Source: RNAcentral